RNAcentral lists this ribosomal RNA (483 nucleotides) under uncultured bacterium. RNAcentral describes it as "partial 16S ribosomal RNA". It matches the Rfam family "Bacterial small subunit ribosomal RNA", at positions 28 to 507 of the family's 1533-position model. The record is from RNAcentral.
GACGAACGCUGGCGGCGUGCUUAACACAUGCAAGUCGAACGCUGAAGCUCAGCUUUUGUUGGGUGGAUGAGUGGCGAACGGGUGAGUAACACGUGAGUAACCUGCCCCCUUCUUUGGGAUAACGCCCGGAAACGGGUGCUAAUACUGGAUAUUCACUGGUCUUCGCAUGGGGGUUGGUGGAAAGGGUUUUUCUGGUGGGGGAUGGGCUCGCGGCCUAUCAGCUUGUUGGUGGGGUGAUGGCCUACCAAGGCUUUGACGGGUAGCCGGCCUGAGAGGGUGACCGGUCACAUUGGGACUGAGAUACGGCCCAGACUCCUACGGGAGGCAGCAGUGGGGAAUAUUGCACAAUGGGCGCAAGCCUGAUGCAGCGACGCCGCGUGAGGGAUGGAGGCCUUCGGGUUGUGAACCUCUUUCGCUCAUGGUCAAGCCGCAACAAUGGUUGCGGUGAGGGUAGUGGGUAAAGAAGCGCCAGCUAACUACGUG